AUUGAACGCUGGCGGAAUGCUUUACACAUGCAAGUCGAACGGCAGCACGGACUUCGGUCUGGUGGCGAGUGGCGAACGGGUGAGUAAUGUAUCGGAACGUGCCCAGUCGUGGGGGAUAACGUAGUGAAAAUUACGCUAAUACCGCAUACGAUCUAUGGAUGAAAGCGGGGGAUCGCAAGACCUCGCGCGAUUGGAGCGGCCGAUAUCAGAUUAGGUAGUUGGUGGGGUAAAGGCCCACCAAGCCAACGAUCUGUAGCUGGUCUGAGAGGACGACCAGCCACACUGGAACUGAGACACGGUCCAGACUCCUACGGGAGGCAGCAGUGGAGAAUUUUGGACAAUGGGCGAAAGCCUGAUCCAGCCAUUCCGCGUGCAGGAUGAAGGCCCUCGGGUUGUAAACUGCUUCCGUACAGAACGAAAAGGUUUCUACUAAUACUAGGAGCUCAUGACGGUACUGUAAGAAUAAGCACCGGCUAACUACGUGCCAGCCGCCGCCGUAA
RNAcentral lists this ribosomal RNA (500 nucleotides) under uncultured bacterium. Its description in RNAcentral is "partial 16S ribosomal RNA". It matches the Rfam family "Bacterial small subunit ribosomal RNA", at positions 30 to 523 of the family's 1533-position model. The record is from RNAcentral.